GAUGAAGAACGUAGCGAAAUGCGAUAAGUAAUGAGAAUUGCAGAAGUCAGUGAAUCAUCGAAUCUUUGAACGCACAUUGCGCCCGUCAGUAUUCUGGCGGGCAUGCCUGUUCGAGCGUCAUUACGCCCCUCAAGUCCCCUGUGGACUUGGUGUUGGGGAUCGGCGAGGCUGGUUUUCCAGCACAGCCGUCCCUUAAAUUAAUUGGCGGUCUCGCCGUGGCCCUCCUCUGCGCAGUAGUAAAACACUCGCAACAGGAGCCCGGCGCGGUCCACUGCCGUAAAACCCCCCAACUUUUUAUAGUUGACCUCGAAUCAGGUAGGACUACCCGCUGAACUUAAGCAUAUCAAUAAGCGGAGGA
RNAcentral lists this unclassified non-coding RNA (358 nucleotides) under soil metagenome. RNAcentral describes it as "partial contains 5.8S ribosomal RNA, internal transcribed spacer 2, and large subunit ribosomal RNA". The stretch from base 1 to 120 matches the Rfam family "5.8S ribosomal RNA", at positions 35 to 154 of the family's 154-position model. The record is from RNAcentral.